Molecule: non-coding RNA, 90 nt
Organism: Lasiosphaeris hirsuta
Lineage: Eukaryota; Fungi; Ascomycota; Sordariomycetes; Sordariales; Lasiosphaeriaceae
Source: the annotation of a GenBank genome assembly
GCGGGUUUAGCUCAGUUGGGAGAGCGUCAGACUGAAGUCACACUUCAUCAUGUAAUCUGAAGGUCAUGUGUUCGAUCCACAUAAACCGCA